ACUCAAAACUGCCAGUGUGAGAGGAUUUGGAAAUCACGGGAUCUGCUCAAUACAAAAAUGUUUUUUCGAGUCUUUCUCCAUUUUAUCAGGAGUCAUUCUGCCACUGCAGUGGAUUUCCUUCCUGUGAUGGUGCACCGGCUCCCAGGUACAAUCAUUGGUUUGAUGGGAUGGCGCUGCUUCACCAGUUCAGAAUGGCAAAGGGCACAGUGACAUACAGGAGCAAGUUUCUACAGAGUGAUACAUAUAAGGCCAACAGUGCUAAAAACCGAAUUGUGAUCUCAGAAUUUGGCACACUGGCUCUCCCGGAUCCAUGCAAGAAUGUUUUUGAACGUUUCAUGUCCAGGUUUGAGCUGCCUGGUAAAGCUGCAGGUGAUAGUGAUGAUUAUUUAAACUAUUACGAUAUAUAACCAUCUAUACAAACAUAAAUCUUGAAAAUAGAUUUUUUUGUGUAUGUGAGAGGAUGUUGAAACUGCUUUCUCCCUUUGAGUGUGUGCUUAGCGUCGUCUACAGUAAGCUGUGGUACUUAAAUAACUCUAGGGUUUGGUUUCAGCCAUGACUGACAACACUAAUGUCAACUAUGUGCGGUACAAGGGUGAUUACUACCUCUGCACUGAGACCAACUUUAUGAAUAAAGUGGACAUUGAAACUCUGGAAAAAACAGAAAAGGUAGAUUGGAGCAAAUUUAUUGCUGUGAAUGGAGCAACUGCGCAUCCUCAUUAUGACCCGGAUGGAACAGCAUACAAUAUGGGGAACUCCUUUGGGCCAUAUGGUUUCUCCUAUAAGGUUAUUCGGGUUCCUCCAGAGAAGGUGGACCUUGGGGAGACAAUCCAUGGAGCCCAGGUGAUAUGUUCUAUUGCUUCUACAGAGAAAGGGAAACCUUCUUACUACCAUAGCUUUGGAAUGACAAGGAACUAUAUAAUUUUCAUUGAACAACCUCUAAAGAUGAACCUGUGGAAAAUUGCCACUUCUAAAAUUCGGGGAAAGGCCUUUUCAGAUGGGAUAAGCUGGGAACCCCAGUGUAAUACGCGGUUUCAUGUGGUGGAAAAACGCACUGGACAGCUCCUUCCAGGGAGAUACUACAGCAAACCUUUUGUUACAUUUCAUCAAAUCAAUGCCUUUGAGGACCAGGGCUGUGUUAUAAUUGAUUUGUGCUGUCAAGAUAAUGGAAGAACCCUAGAAGUUUACCAGUUACAGAAUCUCAGGAAGGCUGGGGAAGGGCUUGAUCAGGUCCAUAAUUCAGCAGCCAAAUCUUUCCCUCGAAGGUUUGUUUUGCCUUUAAAUGUCAGUUUGAAUGCCCCUGAGGGAGACAACCUGAGUCCAUUGUCCUAUACUUCAGCCAGUGCUGUGAAACAGGCUGAUGGAACGAUCUGGUGCUCUCAUGAAAAUCUACAUCAGGAGGACCUAGAAAAGGAAGGAGGCAUUGAAUUUCCUCAGAUCUACUAUGAUCGAUUCAGUGGCAAAAAGUAUCAUUUCUUUUAUGGCUGUGGCUUUCGGCAUUUAGUGGGGGAUUCUCUGAUCAAGGUUGAUGUGGUGAAUAAGACACUGAAGGUGAUGAAAAACUCUUUCCUUUUUGAACUUUUCAGAGACCUGUUCUUCCCUUUGAAUUAGUUUGUUUUAUUUAAAGUAGCUCUUAAGAUUCUUCAGUAUUUAAGCAGCUGAGCCAUUUUCUUUUAUUUGAGAACUAUGAAAUCAUCUAAGUUAGGGGUAUGUUCCUUCUAGGGAAUCCAAAUUGACCCCAGGCCCAGCAAAAUAAUUCUAUGUUUGAUUUUGAUGUUAUUUUGGGAGCAAUUGUGGGGUUAGGGUUGUUGGGACACCUAUAUUUAAAGUUGAUGGCAAAUUAUAGUUACACAAAUUGUGUUUGAUGGUGAUGGAAUCUGGGACUGCAAAGACUCCCUCUCUUUCUCCCAUAUUCAACUCAGUAGGCCUGAUUCUUUUACUUUUGGAAUAUUCCAUUGACAGCCUGUGUUAGUCUGUUCUGUGUUGUUAUAAAGAAAUCCCCGAGGCUGGAUAAUUUAUAAAGAAAAGAGGUUUAGGCUGGGUGUGGUGGCUCACGCCUGUCAUCUCAGCACUUUGGGAGGCCGAGGGGGGUGUAUCACAAGGUCAGGAGAUCAAGACCAUCCUGGCCAACAUGGUGAAACCCUGUCUCUACUAAAAAUACAAAAAUUAGCUGGGCGUGGUGGCACAUGCCUGUAAUCCCAGCUAAUUGGGAGGCUGAGCCAGGAGAAUCACUUGAACCCGGGAGGUAGAGGUUGCAGUGAGCUGAAAUUGCGCCACUGCACUCCAGCCUGGCAACAGUGCGAGAUUCCGUCUCAAAAAACAAAACAAAACAAAACAAAAACA
This 2340-nucleotide small RNA is filed under the name Pan troglodytes (chimpanzee). RNAcentral's name for it is "retained intron". Lineage: Eukaryota; Metazoa; Chordata; Mammalia; Primates; Hominidae. The record is from RNAcentral.